GACGUAGGGCGCAAGCGUUGUCCGGAUUUAUUGGGCGUAAAGAGCUCGUAGGCGGCUGGUCGCGUCGACUGUGAAAACCCGCGGCUCAACCGUGUGGUCUGCAGUCGAUACGGGCAGACUAGAGUUCGGUAGGGGAGUCUGGAAUUCCUGGUGUAGCGGUGAAAUGCGCAGAUAUCAGGAGGAACACCGGUGGCGAAGGCGGGACUCUGGGCCGAUACUGACGCUGAGGAGCGAAAGCCAGGGGAGCAAACGGG
RNAcentral lists this ribosomal RNA (254 nucleotides) under uncultured bacterium. Its description in RNAcentral is "partial 16S ribosomal RNA". It matches the Rfam family "Bacterial small subunit ribosomal RNA", at positions 524 to 776 of the family's 1533-position model. The record is from RNAcentral.